GAUGAACGCUGGCGGCGUGCCUAAUACAUGCAAGUCGAGCGAACGGACGAGAAGCUUGCUUCUCUGAUGUUAGCGGCGGACGGGUGAGUAACACGUGGAUAACCUACCUAUAAGACUGGGAUAACUUCGGGAAACCGGAGCUAAUACCGGAUAAUAUUUUGAACCGCAUGGUUCAAAAGUGAAAGACGGUCUUGCUGUCACUUAUAGAUGGAUCCGCGCUGCAUUAGCUGGUUGGUAGGGUAACGGCUUACCAAGGCAACGAUGCAUAGCCGACCUGAGAGGGUGAUCGGCCACACUGGAACUGAGACACGGUCCAGACUCCUACGGGAGGCAGCAGUAGGGAAUCUUCCGCAAUGGGCGAAAGCCUGACGGAGCAACGCCGCGUGAGUGAUGAAGGUCUUCGGAUCGUAAAACUCUGUUAUUAGGGAAGAACAUAUGUGUAAGUAACUGUGCACAUCUUGACGGUACCUAAUCAGAAAGCCACGGCUAACUACGUG
Molecule: ribosomal RNA, 497 nt
Filed under: uncultured bacterium
Lineage: Bacteria
Description: partial 16S ribosomal RNA
Rfam family: Bacterial small subunit ribosomal RNA
Source: RNAcentral